Molecule: non-coding RNA, 83 nt
Organism: Schistosoma haematobium
Lineage: Eukaryota; Metazoa; Platyhelminthes; Trematoda; Strigeidida; Schistosomatidae
Source: Rfam
GUUAGGAGAUCUGAGCGGUUUGAGGCGCUGCAUUUAGGUUGCAGUCAACGCUGUGGGUGUGGGUUCGAAUCCCACUCGCGACG